Molecule: ribosomal RNA, 193 nt
Filed under: Klebsiella pneumoniae subsp. pneumoniae KPNIH11
Lineage: Bacteria; Pseudomonadati; Pseudomonadota; Gammaproteobacteria; Enterobacterales; Enterobacteriaceae
Description: partial 23S ribosomal RNA
Rfam family: Bacterial large subunit ribosomal RNA
Source: RNAcentral
CCCGGUAGCUAAAUAGCGGAAGAGAUAAGUGCUGAAAGCAUCUAAGCACGAAACUUGCCCCGAGAUGAGUUCUCCCUGAGACUUUAAGUCUCCUGAAGGAACGUUAAAGACGAUGACGUUGAUAGGCCGGGUGUGUAAGCGCAGCGAUGCGUUGAGCUAACCGGUACUAAUGAACCGUGAGGCUUAACCUUAC